GACGAACGCUGGCGGCGUGCUUAACACAUGCAAGUCGAGCGGAAAGGCCCUUCGGGGUACUCGAGCGGCGAACGGGUGCGUAACACGUGAGUAACCUGCCCCAGACUUUGGGAUAACCCUCGGAAACGGGGGCUAAUACCGGAUACGACACAGCUUCGCAUGGGGUCUGUGUGGAAAGUUUUUCGGUUUGGGAUGGGCUCGCGGCCUAUCAGCUUGUUGGUGGGGUGAUGGCCUACCAAGGCGACGACGGGUAGCCGGCCUGAGAGGGCGACCGGCCACACUGGGACUGAGACACGGCCCAGACUCCUACGGGAGGCAGCAGUGGGGAAUAUUGCACAAUGGGCGGAAGCCCGAUGCAGCGACGCCGCGUGAGGGAUGACGGCCUUCGGGUUGUAAACCUCUUUCAGCAGGGACGAAGCGUAAGUGACGGUACCUGCAGAAGAAGCGCCGGCCAACUACGUG
This 462-nucleotide ribosomal RNA is filed under the name uncultured bacterium. RNAcentral describes it as "partial 16S ribosomal RNA". It matches the Rfam family "Bacterial small subunit ribosomal RNA", at positions 28 to 507 of the family's 1533-position model. The record is from RNAcentral.